Molecule: ribosomal RNA, 906 nt
Filed under: bacterium
Lineage: Bacteria
Description: bacterial SSU rRNA
Rfam family: Bacterial small subunit ribosomal RNA
Source: RNAcentral
GAUCCUGGCUCAGGACGAACGCUGGCGGCGUGCCUAAUACAUGCAAGUCGAGCGGACAGAUGGGAGCUUGCUCCCUGAUGUUAGCGGCGGACGGGUGAGUAACACGUGGGUAACCUGCCUGUAAGACUGGGAUAACUCCGGGAAACCGGGGCUAAUACCGGAUGGUUGUUUGAACCGCAUGGUUCAAACAUAAAAGGUGGCUUCGGCUACCACUUACAGAUGGACCCGCGGCGCAUUAGCUAGUUGGUGAGGUAACGGCUCACCAAGGCAACGAUGCGUAGCCGACCUGAGAGGGUGAUCGGCCACACUGGGACUGAGACACGGCCCAGACUCCUACGGGAGGCAGCAGUAGGGAAUCUUCCGCAAUGGACGAAAGUCUGACGGAGCAACGCCGCGUGAGUGAUGAAGGUUUUCGGAUCGUAAAGCUCUGUUGUUAGGGAAGAACAAGUACCGUUCGAAUAGGGCGGUACCUUGACGGUACCUAACCAGAAAGCCACGGCUAACUACGUGCCAGCAGCCGCGGUAAUACGUAGGUGGCAAGCGUUGUCCGGAAUUAUUGGGCGUAAAGGGCUCGCAGGCGGUUUCUUAAGUCUGAUGUGAAAGCCCCCGGCUCAACCGGGGAGGGUCAUUGGAAACUGGGGAACUUGAGUGCAGAAGAGGAGAGUGGAAUUCCACGUGUAGCGGUGAAAUGCGUAGAGAUGUGGAGGAACACCAGUGGCGAAGGCGACUCUCUGGUCUGUAACUGACGCUGAGGAGCGAAAGCGUGGGGAGCGAACAGGAUUAGAUACCCUGGUAGUCCACGCCGUAAACGAUGAGUGCUAAGUGUUAGGGGGUUUCCGCCCCUUAGUGCUGCAGCUAACGCAUUAAGCACUCCGCCUGGGGAGUACGGUCGCAAGACUGAAACUC